This is an RNA transcript of Ctenopharyngodon idella (grass carp), 5899 nucleotides long. It is a transcript of the gene named zinc finger protein 814-like, with no coding region annotated. The record is from RefSeq and is a predicted model, not a curated record. NCBI's taxonomy places the organism in Eukaryota, Metazoa, Chordata, Actinopteri, Cypriniformes, Xenocyprididae. The transcript has 9 exons.
UCCACUCUUAAUCAAUCUGUGGAAAUGUAAAGAGAUAUGUAAAUACAUGAACAGAGAAAUCUUACUUUCUAUUUAAUUAUACUGUUUUCUUUAAAAUGUUCCUUAAUGUCAGAUGUCAGAAUCUGUUCUGGAUGAUUCAACUGACAACUCUGAAAGCUCAGGGAAGAAUGAACUUUCUGAACAAAAUGUGAAAACUAAUGCGUUAUUUGUGAAAAGUUCUGAAGAAUUCGGAGUGCUCUCAAACUCUUCCACAACCCGUCAAACCUCUGACAGUAGUGGUAAGACUGCACAAAAGAAGUAAAGCAAGCACUAUAUUGUCGGUUUUGUGGGAAGGCAUGAAGAAAGAUAGAACUGCACCUAAAGUGUGAUCACACAAGAGAAGCCGAAGUGAUAAAAGCUUUAAGUCUUGACAAAGACUAAAGGAAAGUUAUUGAAUACUUUCGCCAUUAAAAAGAAAACCAAGCAGAUUUGUGAUCAGGAACACUCAAGCCCUCCUAAUCUUGCCUCUUGCCAGAGUGCUGCCCCGAAAACAAUUAUCCAAAAGUGGAGGGGCUUCUUGUCUCUAAAAUUGACAGCAGCACAGCUCAAAAUGAUCUUACAACAAGGAAGACUACCAGAUCAGCCAUCAAACAAGAUUACAAGAUCAGCCGUCUAAAAGAAGAGUCAAAGAAAAGUUGUCCAAGUUCUCAUUCACAGGGUCCUGAAGGCCAAAGCAAUUCCAUGGAAGACUUGUUGAAGAUACAUCACUGCUAUUACUGCAAGCAACCACAUUAUAGAAUGAUGGAUCAUCUUCAGUCAGUUCAUCCUAAUGAGCCAGAGGUGGCAAACGCUCUUACCUUUGACAAGAGCUCACAAGAAAGGAAACAUCUCUUGAACCUCCUUCAAACUAAGGGAAAUGUUUUACACAGCACAAAUGUGGUUCAAAGUAGUAAACAAGAUUUAAAAACAUUUAUGAGCUUUGCACCAGACUGCUCAUUUGAUGAUAGUGUUUAUUGCAUCUACUGUUUAGGGUUAUUUAACAAGAAGUAUUUUGCUACGCAUUUAGAGCAGUGCAAGGGCAAAUCAACUGACAGCGCUGAGGCUAGCUGUGGUGAAAUUCUUCUCAAUGCUGGGCCCAUUCCUCCAACUCCCACACUUACUACCCCCUGGAGUCCGGAAGAGAUUGAUGCAAAUCUAGAACCAUCGGGUUUUCAUUGGCUAAAUACCACUUAUGGAACAGAGCAGCUAAAUUUGGAUAAUGAACAAGGAAGUUCUUCCCAUCAAGAUGUCACAUGCAGUGUAGGGCAACCAGAUGUCUCAAGUCCAAAUGAGGGGGUUAGAAAUGACGGGCAGACAGAGGGUGCUAAUUUACAAUUCAAACAUUCUCUUGAAAAUGAAGUCGGCUAUGAUUUUUUGUCGGUUAGUUUUCCAUAUCUAAGCACUGGUCAAGAAUCAACAGACUGUAAGAAUGAAGAAAUAAGUCUCCCAAAGUGUGAUGUUGAUCAAGAAAGGACAGUGACGGCAACAUCAGACACCUGCUCCAUCAAAGCUCACCCAGAAUACAACGUUCUCAGAAAUCCAUUUGAUGAUUUUAGUCCACCUCACAGCAACCGAACUGUAUCUAAUGAUGGUGUGAAAGCCAAAACCCAUGGAAAAGGAAGGAAGAGGAUGAGGAAGAGGCGCUCGUGUGUCCAAAAUGAGUCACUGAUCAUGGAUGAUGACUUGCUAGGUGAAGGAGAGAUGCCUAGUUCAAAAAUACAUGUCUGCCAGCACUGCAGGGCAACUUUCUGCAGCUCCUACACGCUGCGCAGACAUGAAUACACUCACACAGGUGAGAGGCCAUUCUGGUGUCAUCACUGUAAUGUGGGAUUCAUCCAGAAGUAUCGCCUUUUAAAGCACACAUUUGCAUACCAUGGGGACACGUCAACUAACACAGACCAGGAAAAACCGAAAAGGCCGAAGAGAAGAAUACAAGGUGGAGAGACAUCAGUGAAGGAUGAAGCUAGCCUUGAGCCAUCAGCAAAGAGCCCUGUUAAUGAUGAAACUGAGGAAAAUGUUGCAGCCACAAAGCAAGACACAGAGGCGAGAGAGUUCCACUGGGAAGAAGCAGGACACAGCAAAGUCAAAGACACAAACUGCUAGAAGUUAUCGUUUACAUCUUAGUGUUGUUGUUUUUUUAUAAGUUACAACAUAUGUUUUAUUUGUUUUGUAAAUAUGUUUUACAGUGUUUUACGAAGUUGUCUGAAUCUGAUAAUGUUAAAUACUUUUAUGGAAUGGUUCAUUUCGGCCUGUUGUAUUAUACAGAUCAUAGCAUAUGUUUAUUAACUCCAGAUUGAGAAUAAAAACAAAGGAUAGAAAAAUCUAAGGGUGUAUUGGUGUAUUUUUUAUUUGUACAGUAUGUGUGUGUGUGUGUGUGUGUGUGUGUGUGUGUGUGUGUGUGUGUGGGAGGGGGGGGACCAUAUCUCUCAAUCUGAAAUGCAACUUAUGACAGUCUGUUUCAGUACAAGCUCUUGUGUCUCCAGUCUUCAGUGUCACAUGAUCCUUCAUAAAUCAUUCUAAUAUGCUGAUUUGGUCCUCAAUAAAAAAAAAUUUAUCAUCAAUGUUAAUAAUUUUGUGGAAACUGAUACAUUUUUUCAGGAUUCUUGAUAAUUACAGUCAUUUUUUAUUUUUUUAUUUUAUUUUUUUUCUGUCACUUUUGAUCAAUUGGAAUUAAAUGUAUUAAUGCCUUUAAAAAAAAAAAAAAAACUUUUGUGCAUGUUAUUCUUCGAACUUUUAAAUAUUUAAGCACAUUUAGAUGCAUUUUUCUGGAACAUUUUUAUUUUCACUUGUUUGGCUAGAUACUUUGACUUUUUGCACAGUAUCUAUACUUUCACUUAAAAUGCAAUAUAAUUUAAAUUGGAUAACUGCCCCACAGAGAACUGGUUUUCUUAUGUCAUAAGAGGGUUCAUAAUAAAGAGGUGUCUGACUCCAGUUGCAUUGUGACCACAGAGCCAAAGCAAAAAAAUGAAUAAAAGUAUGUUUAUUAGUCUCUAUUUCUCAUUACACUUGCUGUGUAUGAUUGUGAAGUUAUGACUGAAUAUACACUGAUGAGCCAGAACAUUAUGACCAGUCACAGGUGAAGCAAAUAUCAUUGAUCAUCUCCUAACAAGGCCACAAUGUUAUGGUCAGGGUACAUUAGAUUGUAAGCAAACAAUCAGUUCUUGUAAUCAAUCUGUUGGAUGCAGGAGAAGUGGGCUGGAAUAAAGAUCUGAGCGACUUUGACAAGGGCCAGAUUUUUAUAUGGUGGCUGGGUCAGAGUAUCUCUGAAAAGGCAAGGUUUGUGGGUUGCUCCUUGUCUUGGCAAAUUCAAUGUCUCAGUGUCGCUUCAGUUCUGGUCUCAAAGAAAGCUCUCAGAGUCAAAUUUCCAGGACCAGCUGUUCAUCUAAAUUUAUCUCUGGCCAGUUCUUAUACAGUUUUCUUAUGUGUUAUUUUGCAACAAAGUGACAUAAUUCUCUGGUAAGAUUCACCCCUCUGGUUUUCCCACAACUAAGUUCUACAUCUUUUGCCUUACUCCCUAAUUGUGGAAUUCUGCCAAUUGAUGGUCAACCCUUUCUCAUAGGCAAAAUUUAACAUAGUAACAAGGACUGUCAACCCAUUCUCAGAGGCAAGAAGCCUCCAAGUGACAUUUAUUUCACACCUCUUAAUAAUGGUCUUGGUCUUUCACAGCCAUCUGUUGUUUACUGGAAAACCCCUGACUUAACCCCUGAAAAAAAAACUGCUUUCAUAGAUGCAUCUGUGUAAUCACAGUCACGUAGGCCAUGAGGCCUCAAAACACUUCUGGCUUUUAUAGUAAGCAAACUAAUUCUACAAUUGUUUUCUAUAGGAUAUAAUAAAAUAUUUCAUUACAUAUCUUUGACAUGUGCCACCUACCUAAACAUUGUUGCAGACCAGGUACACCCCUUCAUGACAAUGGUGUUCCCUGGUGGAAGUGGCCUCUUACAGCAGAAUAAUGCUCUUACCAAACUGCACACAUUGUUCAGGAAUGGUUUGAGGAGCAUGAUGAGUUCGAGGUGUUGCCCUGGCCAGAUACCACAGGACACCUUCAGGGCUCUUGUAUAGUCCAUGCCUUGGUGGGUCAGCGCUGGCAGAAAGCGGAGGACCAACAGCAUGUUGGUUUUUGCUCAUAAAGGCAUAAUGUUUUUGCUCAUCGGUGUAAAUAAUAUGAAUGAUGACGUUAUUUGGCCCAAAGCUGAACAGUAAAACCUGUACUGCCUCCUCCUGUCCUGUGAAGGGUGCUAGAGACACUUCAGUUAGCACAGCAACCUUAUGUGUUGGUGGUUUGAUUUUAAAGGGGGAACUUUCACGCGCUCGUCUCUGCUGUUAUCGCUACCUGUAUUGUCUGUAUUUAUCAUUUAAAUACAGCUCUCUAAAUACAGUAAAAUGACUAAACUUGAUCGUCUGAAUACUUUCAUGACCGAGCGCUUGAUGGCUGCUGUGAAGGAGAUCAUCUUCACAGUCGGCAGAACGGUUCGGGAGUAUGAGGAGGAAACGGAGCGAAUCAGGAGCGAAAACGAGCGACUGAAAGAAAUGUUACGAGACUCAGGGUGCUUCACUGAACGCGCUAAUGCUGCUCCUGUGCAGUCUUAUCAGCCCAUCUCCCCUGUGCAACCUGGAUGGAUCUGCAGCCAGAAUGAGGAGCCAGAAACCUUUGAUGAGAUCCAACAAGACCGAUGCCAGAGGCACGGCGAACAACAUCCGCUCAUAAAACCGGAAAAGCCUGAGUACUCUGCUGACGCUUACCGGGAAUCUGUAGCUUUGCCAUCAGAAGCUAACAACAACGAGGGCUCACACAUGUGCGCUGAUCACACCGAACAGAACACAAAUCCUGUUGAGGAUGAGAUGACAAACUGUCAUUUCCCAGCUAAAAUCAAAGUUGAAUUCAUGAAUUCUAACUUGUGUUCAGGCGAUGCAAUGGGGAGCACCGAAGAUGUAUAUCAGAGCUGGUCACCACGCAGUCCAGACUUGCCUUUAGGGACAUCGGACCCCUGUAGAUCACAACACCCAAACCAGCCGACAUACACUAGCAGUGAAGCUCCUCCCACAGUAUCCCAGCACAGCAGUUCAUCUUAUGAUGCUAAUCACGUUUCAUAUCACAACAUAUUAUGCACCAACAGGUCCUACUGUAGCAGUAAAUGCUGUGAAAUGCAAAAGAGGACAAUAGCCAAAUCAAGCCCUGUAUGGAAGUAUUUCUCUCUAAAAGAAGGAGACUGUAGCAAAGCAGUGUGCAUUAUGUGUAGGGCCGUCAUAUCUCGAGGUCGCAAAGAGUACACAACGUCUGCCCUUCUAAAGCACCUUCGGAUGAAACAUGGAAAUGUGCUAAUCUUUGGCAGUGCUGAGAAGAGACGAAUGAAAGAAAUUACGAGAAAAACUGUGUGAAAACCACUAAACCGCUCUCAGUCAGUAUGGACACUGGCUAUUGUGCGUCACGGCGAGCCGCUGAGUGAACCACAGUGGUUGUGUAACUUUCAGUCUUUUGGUUUGUUUUUAAAGUAAUUGUUUCAUCAAAAUCAACAUCAUAUGGAGUGGGUUGAGAUAAACUAUGUAUGCAUAUGCAGUUGGUCAUCCAAGCCUUUUGAUUAUGGUUACAGACGAAGCGUAAAAUCCUACGGCUUGGAAAAACUGUAACAAUCUUCAGUCUGUAAAUAACUGGUGAAUGGAUGUUUGGUUUCAUCAUUGUAUUAAAAAAAACAAAAACAAUCGGAUGUUAUUUAAUUGAACUUCUAAGGCAUGAUUCAUAUUAAAGAAGACUGUAAUAAAGAUCAUUUUAGGGACAUUUACAGAAUAUUUUACCACCCCACUGAAAUGUAAAAUGUUUCAAGUUUUGAACUGAUUUCGUCUUUUGUACUAAUUUUUACAAUAAAUUAAUUCUGGUUUUACAACA